UAACACAUGCAAGUCGAACGGAAAGAGAUGAAAGAGCUUGCUCUUUUAUUAAUUUCAGUGGCAAACGGGUGAGUAACACGUAAACAACCUGCCUUAAGGAUGGGGAUAACAGACGGAAACGACUGCUAAUACCGAAUACGUUCUAAGCAUCGCAUGGUGCAUAGAAGAAAGGGUGGCCUCUACAAGAAAGCUAUCGCCUUAAGAGGGGUUUGCGACUGAUUAGGUAGUUGGUGAGGUAACGGCUCACCAAGCCGACGAUCAGUAGCCGGUCUGAGAGGAUGAACGGCCACACUGGAACUGAGACACGGUCCAGACUCCUACGGGAGGCAGCAGUGGGGAAUCUUCCGCAAUGGACGAAAGUCUGACGGAGCAACGCCGCGUGAACGAAGAAGGUCUUCGGAUUGUAAAGUUCUGUGAUUCGGGACGAAAGGGUUUGUGGUGAAUAAUCAUAGACAUUGACGGUACCGAAAAAGCAAGCCACGGCUAACUACGUGCCAGCAGCCGCGGUAAUACGUAGGUGGCAAGCGUUGUCCGGAAUUAUUGGGCGUAAAGCGCGCGCAGGCGGCUUCUUAAGUCCAUCUUAAAAGCGUGGGGCUCAACCCCAUGAGGGGAUGGA
This 616-nucleotide ribosomal RNA is filed under the name Dialister pneumosintes. Its description in RNAcentral is "bacterial SSU rRNA". It matches the Rfam family "Bacterial small subunit ribosomal RNA", at positions 49 to 630 of the family's 1533-position model. The record is from RNAcentral. Lineage: Bacteria; Bacillati; Bacillota; Negativicutes; Veillonellales; Veillonellaceae.